GAAGAAGAAGCUGCGGAAGCGACGCGGAUGUUUUGGAAAGUAGAGGUAGUGGUAGUGUCACCAGAGUAGAGUGACGAUCUGGGAAUAACAACACCUGUUCUGUUCAUCCGGAUUAGUUUAGUUCACUUUUUAAAAUAAAGUAUACCGGUUUAGCUUCAGAAAAAUGUCUAAGAAGUCUAAGAAGAAAAAGCGCAGAAGGCGGUCACAAUGCUCCAGUGAAGAAGAGCAGGUGACCAACAAGCGAGAUGAAGCGAACACAAGCACAACGUCCGAUGGGAAGCAACGUGUAAAAUGUCAGGAGAGCUCUGCGGCAAAAUGUGGAAAUUCAGGUUCUUCUGCCGUUAAAGGUGACGCACAAUGCAGCCGACAGAUCAAGAAGCCUGUCUACAGAUUAGGAGAAACUCAAGCAGCAGACCGGAAAUCUGUUAUUAAGGAUGGCGACAGUGCAGAAAGAAAAAGUGUGCAAGUCCACAGGGGAAGGUCAUCCAGUAAAGCAAAUGUUUCAGGCAAAGGUAAUACUGUCAGUGGGAGUAAGACUGUGGAAAAGAAACCCUCAGACCCCCUGAGCAUCACAAGUGCAAUUCUUCAGCGUAAAGACAGGACCUCUAAAGUCAGCGUUGAUGAAAAGUCUUCCCAGAGGAGCCCAUCCAAAUUAAAGGCGCCGCUAAUGACACCCCGUUUGGUUUCUGCUGAACAGAAAGACCAGAGACACAACAUACUGAAGAAGCGUCAAGCCGAGGAGCCUCUGAGAGUCGAAUGUGACAGCAGCUCUGUCAAGACCAAGAAACCAAGAAACACCACCUCCGCUUCAGAUUCAUCAGGGCUGAAAUGGGUGCCUUUAAAAGAAAUAUGCCAAAAGAAUCCAGAAAAGGACUGCAAGGCCAAAACACGCAUGCAUUCACAUACACAACUGCCCUCUGCCUCUUCCACAGAGCGGUCAUCCACACACAGUACCUCAGAAAGUACCUCCAAGGUGCCGAGGAAUGUCUUAUCAGGGUCGAGUAGGACAGCACAGUCAUCCUCUCCACAACAGAUACACUCUUUCACACAACCUUUGCGUUUCAAUUUUAAGAUACCGAUAAAACGUCUGCCAAGGCCAGCAGACAGCGCAGAUGGCAAGAAGGACGUUCCUUCAAACAACACUGUGUCAGAUGUCAAAAAGGAGACUAAACGUCCAGACUCCGAGGUCUCCGUGAAAAACAUCACACAGGAAUCUGUCCGUGAACCUCACAAAUGUUUGACUGUCACUGCCAGUUUUCCACCUAAAGUACAAGAUAAGAGGUUGCCUUUGCCAAGUCAGCAUUCAACUAUGAGCAAUACAGAUACUGCGCCAGGGGAUGAUGAGAUGCAAGUGGUUGAAGAGCUUCACCUUGCCCGCUCGCAGAAGAUACUGGGGGUAGAAGUAACGCAGAGCUAUGGAGAGCUGACUUGCAUGGACAUAGACGUCCCAGAGGAGAACACUAUAGAGGCGCCCUGCAAACAAGCCCUUCAGCAAGUUCUCAUUCUCGUUCUGGACACAAACAUUCUCCUCAGUCACCUUGAUUAUGUAAAAAAGAUCAGAUCUCAUGGCCUCAGAGACCUGGGCUUUCCUGUCAUCCUGAUCCCCUGGGUGGUGCUUCAGGAGCUGGAUUCACUAAAAAAUAGAAAGCAUCUGUCACAUUCGGUUGAACACCUUGCCACCCCCGCCAUCUCCUUCAUUUAUAACUGUUUGAAGAGCCGGGAGCCUUACCUCUGGGGGCAGUCUAUGCAGCAGGCCACGGAGAGCAGAUAUGGUCUGAAUGCCGAGAAUAAUGAUGACAGGGUGCUGCAGUGCUGCCUUCAGUAUCAGAGUCUGUAUCCAGGAUGUGCUCUCAUCCUAUGCACUAAUGAUAAGAACCUAUGCAGUAAAGCCCUGCUGAGUGGGGUCAAGGCACUCAGCCAGAAGGAUUUGAAGGAAGAGCUUGGGACGUCCAGAGAUGGCCAUCACUUGCUACAGAAACUUCAGAUACCCACGCUGCCUCACACAAACCAGCAGGUCUCACCCUCCGUGCCCAGCAGUAGUCAUGAAGCAGUUCAGCAAUACAGUCAAAGCAGAACAAGACUGUCUCUAGGAUUCACAGACAAAGUCAUAGAUGGCCAGCAGCUCAGUGAAGACAAAUGGGACCUGAGCAGAUGUGUUUCUGAACUUGAAGACUGCUUGAAGGAGGUGUUGUCUGAUGUGUUGGAGGUGGAGAUGAAGGCAGUGUAUGAAGAUCUGUGGUUAGAGAUAGUCUAUGUCAAACCACCCUGGACUCUUAAAGAUGUCCUGCAGUGUUUUAAUAAGCACUGGAUAGCUGUGUUUGGCUUCAUUGUCCCACGAUCAAAGCAACAGACUAUUUUAAAUCUCAUUAACUUCUUCACCUCAGGUCAGAAAGUAAACCUAAGCGCCACCUUAGAGGUUCUCCAAGGAGCAAUGGACCUGGUGAAAGCAUUCAGGAGGAGUUCAAGUCGCGCUGCCCAUGCCGUCUCCCAAAUGGACAACAUCCUUAAUAAGCUACUUCAGAGGGACUCGCCUGCUGUAGACGUUGUCAUGACUGAUGAAGAAGACAAACAGCCCGCGUCUGCUCGCGUCUCUCAUCAGGAAGUGUGGGUCCUGUUCGAAAACAUCUGGUCUAAUGUGUAUCAAGUAAGCUUGGAAGUGUUCAAAGCGCUGGGCUUUGACCCUCACACCAUGCAGAGCGCUCACCCAGCGCCGGGUCCCCCGCCGCCGCAGGAGGCGCUGGCCUGUUUACACAGACUGUCCUCCAUGGUCUCACAGCUGCUCCAGGCGUUCAGCAGAAGAACUAAUUAUCACUACAAAGGGACACUUUCUAUCAGUAUGUUAUAUGUUCAUCAUUUUCUCUGUCUUCACUAAACCCUCUAACUAAACCUCAUCUCCCAGUGUGUUAUUCACACUGUGGAUGACUGACUUGGGCCAUUUGGGCGUCGUCAAGCAGCUCCUUCCUGUUGGGGUUUAUACUCGAUUAAAGUCUUGAUGCGUGUUUUUGACUUGCAGUAUUUCCUUUGUGGUUUUACUUCUCUUUACUGUACUUUCUGUCUCUGAAUCUGUGAUAAAUUGACUUGUACAGUCUGUACAACCAUGCACAAGUGUUAAUCUGUGUAAGAUCAUGAUGUUUUCGACUGCAAGGCUAAUGUGUUUUUCGACAGUUUCAUUGUUUGGUCUGGUUUAUAGGCACUAAGCUCAGAACACAAACAGGCCUCUCAGACUGUAAGCCACUAAACUCUUCAGUGUGUCCCAAGGACACUUUAUUACAGCUAAGGCUCUGCAGGCCUCUGCAGCACAUGUUUGUUGGUCUGGAUCACAGGCUGUAUGGCCAUGCUUAAUAACCAGAUGUUCUAUAUUCUAUGUUUGGCACAUUUGUAGCUGGAGAAAUGCUCUCGGUGAUGUUGUGAACCAUUCUGAGGAGGAGCACUGCCCUCAAAAUGUCACAAAGUUGAUUUUGAUGAUAUUUCAGUUUUUGCAUUAGAACAUUUUGGGGAACAGAAGCUUUUGUUCUGACACUGGUUUCCCAAACACAACUAUGACGUAACUAGGUGAUAGUGCAGCUGUUUCUUCUGCACAGAAACCACAUGAUAAGUUGUUCAACAGCUGCAAUGCCGCCUUCCUUCAAAAGCAGCUUUUUUUUAAUGUAGUCAGUCAUGUAGUUUUAUAUGAGCAGCUUGUGUCUCAAUCCACAGCUUCGUUUGGUUCAGUGCUACUCAGCAUGAUUUGACUUUGCAUUGCUUAUUGAGUCACACGGUUUAAAUCUUCUAAUUGUGUUGAAUUGUUUUGCAGUAGCUGAAUGUUUUAGAAUAAAUCUUUUUAAUACGACCUUUGUCUCUGCCUGCGAGAGUCUUGGUCCGAUGCUUCGUGGUUAAUGUGUGCACAAUUCUGCAUUCAGCGGCACGCAUGCAUGUGUGUUGGCUGCUCAAGUACUGUUGCCUAGGAGACAGCACUCCUCAUUUUCACGUGUUGGAGCAGAGCUAUGACUCAUACAGGCGAUCUGUCUCCAUGUCCCUAAACUAGAGCUCUGCUCAAAGCUAUUCCUCACGCUUCGCUCCUUUUCCUGUGCUUAUUCCUGCUCUUAUUGUGUUGUCUUGUCGUCGCCAUCUGGUUUGGAGGAAGUUCAGACACUGCUCAGCGUCAUUCACUCUAAUGAGAUCGUUCCUGUGGAUCAAAGAUUGACGGCCAGAGACCUACUUGACUGUUUCUCACAUCAAGAGUACAGGUACG
This is an RNA transcript of Betta splendens (Siamese fighting fish), 4231 nucleotides long. It is a transcript of the gene named SWT1 RNA endoribonuclease homolog, with no coding region annotated. Lineage: Eukaryota; Metazoa; Chordata; Actinopteri; Anabantiformes; Osphronemidae. The transcript has 16 exons. The record is from RefSeq and is a predicted model, not a curated record.